KAGCAKSUCUGCGAAGAUGCUGAUCACUAGUUCCGUAGGUGAACCUGCGGAAGGAUCAUUASCGAGAGAGGGACUUCGGGUCCCCCGGGGAUCGCUACGGCACCCCAGCUCUUCAACCCAGUGUCUACCSACCUUUGUUGCUUUGGCGAGUGCCGGGGCGCAAGCUUCGGCCCUGACUUCGGUCAGCGAGCCCUCGCCAGAGGCCCACCACAAUUCUGUUUUCAGUGAAGUCCGAGCAUACAAACGAAUAAAUCAAAAACUUUCAACAACGGAUCUCUUGGUUCUGGCAUCGAUGAAGAACGCAGCGAAAUGCGAUAAGUAAUGUGAAUUGCASAAUUCAGUGAAUCAUCGAAUCUUUGAACGCACAUUGCGCCCCUUGGUAUUCCGAGGGGCAUGCCUGUUCGAGCGUCAUUGCAACCCUCAAGCUUUGCUUGGUAUUGGGUCUUCGCCUUGCCUCCGGGGAGGGCGUGCCCGAAAAUCAGUGGCAGUCCAGGCAGACUUCAAGCGCAGUAAAACUUUCCGCUUUCGAAGGCCUCGCCUGUGGCUAAGCCGUGAAACCCCCCAAUUUUUCAAUGAUUGACCUCGGAUCACGUAGGGAUACCCGCUGAUCUUAAGCAUAUCAU
Molecule: ribosomal RNA, 623 nt
Filed under: Caloplaca sp. JV-2011a
Lineage: Eukaryota; Fungi; Ascomycota; Lecanoromycetes; Teloschistales; Teloschistaceae
Description: eukaryotic LSU rRNA
Rfam family: 5.8S ribosomal RNA (bases 258-411)
Source: RNAcentral